Molecule: ribosomal RNA, 497 nt
Filed under: uncultured bacterium
Lineage: Bacteria
Description: partial 16S ribosomal RNA
Rfam family: Bacterial small subunit ribosomal RNA
Source: RNAcentral
GAUGAACGCUGGCGGCGUGCCUAAUACAUGCAAGUCGAGCGAACGGACGAGAAGCUUGCUUCUCUGAUGUUAGCGGCGGACGGGUGAGUAGCACGUGGAUAACCUACCUAUAAGACUGGGAUAACUUCGGGAAACCGGAGCCAAUACCGGAUAAUAUUUUGAACCGCAUGGUUCAAAAGUGAAAGACGGUCUUGCUGUCACUUAUAGAUGGAUCCGCGCUGCAUUAGCUAGUUGGUAAGGUAACGGCUUACCAAGGCAACGAUGCAUAGCCGACCUGAGAGGGUGAUCGGCCACACUGGAACUGAGACACGGUCCAGACUCCUACGGGAGGCAGCAGUAGGGAAUCUUCCGCAAUGGGCGAAAGCCUGACGGAGCAACGCCGCGUGAGUGAUGAAGGUCUUCGGAUCGUAAAACUCUGUUAUUAGGGAAGAACAUAUGUGUAAGUAACUGUGCACAUCUUGACGGUACCUAAUCAGAAAGCCACGGCUAACUACGUG